Molecule: long non-coding RNA, 1980 nt
Organism: Limulus polyphemus (Atlantic horseshoe crab)
Lineage: Eukaryota; Metazoa; Arthropoda; Merostomata; Xiphosura; Limulidae
Exons: 4
Source: RefSeq, a predicted model, not a curated record
GUUAUGGUUUUGGUUUCGAAAUACGCGUCUGGUAAUUCUAGUUUUGUUUUGAAAUUGUUUCUGGUUUUGUAUUCAAAGUUUUAUACGCCGUGCCAGAGAAAGUAUAUGCGUAACGUUGGUGGUGAUACAAAUAAAAUCCAGUUCCCGUUGAGCCAGGUUAUUUGUCUCUGAAGUACUGAAGCAAAAGAAAUUAGUGCUCUUUUCAAGGCGAUAUUUACCAACAAGGACAAAGGUAAGUUGACGAGAAGAGGCCCAUGGAAUAACAACUGAACAAGGAGUUAUGAGAUUAUUGUGUUUGAAAAGGCAGUAAGAAUGGACUCUGGAAAGCACAAAGAAAAGUUUAGGAUUGCAGAAAAACAAAAUAUUCAAUGUAACUGUAAUCGUCCGCUUGGAAAAGUCAUCUGUUGUGUGUGUAGUCAUGUAUGUCAGGGACGCAAGAGUCAGCCUUGCUCUGCCCAUCCAUUCACCAUACAUCUGAUGGAUAUACAGAACUGUCCAAAAUGCAGGUCGUCUUCCAUAAUGGAAUUUCAAGGCACGAGCAACUGAGCAACAGACAUGAUUGGUUGCGAUCCCGAAGUUGAUUGGUGUCUGAUAUCUGAAGUGACACAAAACGUUAUCUUUAUAUUGUUAAGAUUUUAUUGUGUUCAGUUUUAAGUUUGUUUUAUGCUUGAAUUUUUUUGGGAAAUAUUAAAUUCUCAUGUGUUUCACAGUAAAGUAAUAGCACAGUAAACUGAAGUUUAAGAAAUAGAUACUAAUUAUUUGAACGCCAAAUUUUUUUGAAAAUUAUUCUUUAAGUCAUAUUCUUUAAGUUUAUUUCUAGUGCAUACACGUAUCCCUGAACUAAUUUGCAUAAUAUUUCGUAGUUGAAGGCCAAGAUAAGCAUGUAUGGGACAGUGUUUUAGUCCUUAUGAUUUGUUAUUAAGUUUUUCGAAUUGCAGUUGUUCAACACUAACAGUUACUUAGAACAAAGCUUGGUACAAUUCAUUGGUAUACUUCAGUAAACACUGUUCAUACAAGUCAUGUCGGAAACAAAUAUCGUGAGCUAAAAAAAUAGCAUUUUUAUAUAAUAGAAAGUAUUCAAACUUAUCGUGAACCCUAAUAACCAUAAUAAACUAUACUAAAAGAUAAAGAUACAGUUGUUGAGGAGUUUGUGAGUACUAGAUUACUAGAUGAUGUAUAUGAAUUUAGUAAGAAUUACAUGCACAAAAAGUAAGUUCUGUAUAAUAUAUUCAAAAGCUUAUAUUAAAAUCUAAAAUAUAAAUAUUUUGAUAUUGCUUUUGAAUUUAAAAAAAGUCACGAACACUGUAACCAUGAUUUCAAACAACCCAGAAUAUUAAACGUAUUUAGAACAGGUAAAGAUGUUCGAAUUAAAUAAACUAGUUGCAUCAGUUAAUUGUUCUUGCUUUCACAAAAAGCUAAUUCAUGCACAUAUUAAUAGAAAAAAAAGAAUAAUAUUAAUUCGUGAGAUGCAAAUCAUAAGUGAUGUUAAAUAAACUAAAAUCAGAACGUUUAGACAAAUGCAAGUUUUAGUUACGUUAAAUAUGAAUAUAUAUUCUUUAGCAGAACAGACUUAAAAUAAAACAAGAAACUUUGUUUUGUUGUUAAACAUAAAGCUACACAUUGGACUAUCUGUGCUGUGCCCGACACGGGUAUCGAAACCCGGUUUUAGUCUUAUAAGCCUUCAACAGGAAAUACACAGAGAUGCCGUAUCUCUUAGGAGAUAAGUUGAUUGGUUUGUCAUUUUGAUGACACUAUUCCGCUAAGUGUUUUUUUUUUUUAAACUGAAAUGAUUAACAGCAUGCUCCGUGAAUAUUUAUAUUAGAAAAACUUGUGUAAUGUUAUUCUAAUUAGUGUGUAUAAAUACCAUAUUGUUAUUUGUUUAUCGUUUACGGAUAAAUAUCCCUUGGUUAUGAAGAAUCGACUAAGAUCGGUCGUUCGAAGUGUAUACUCAAGAUCAAUUAAGGUGUUUCUCAAAGCUAA